Molecule: ribosomal RNA, 492 nt
Filed under: uncultured bacterium
Lineage: Bacteria
Description: partial 16S ribosomal RNA
Rfam family: Bacterial small subunit ribosomal RNA
Source: RNAcentral
GUUGAACGCUGGCGGCAUGCUUUACACAUGCAAGUCGAACGGUAACAGGACUACGGGUGCUGACGAGUGGCGAACGGGGGAGUAAUGCAUCGGAACGUGCACAGAGGCGGGGGAUAACGCAGCGAAAGCUGUGCUCAUACCGAAUGUGAGCUGAGGAUGAAAGCGGGGGACCAAGCAGCAAUGAUUGGCCUCGCGCCUCUGGAGCGGCCGAUGUCAGAUUAGGUAGUUGGUGGGGUAAAGGCCUACCAAGCCGACGAUAUGUAGCCGGCCUGAGAGGAUGACCAGCCACACUGGAACUGAGACACGGCCCAGACUCCUACGGGAGGCAGCAGUAGGGAAUUUUGGACAAUGGGCGAAAGCCUGAUCCAGCAAUGCCGCGUGAGGGAUGAAGGCCUUCGGGUCGUAAACCUCUGUUGUACGGAACGAAAAUGCUUGGGCGAAUACCUGGAGCUGAUGACGGUACCGAAUGAAUAAGCACCGGCUAACUACGUG